AGUCUUAUAUUCAAUUAUGAUAUUAAAUUGCAAAUUUAAAGGUAAAGUUAUUUUAAGGCUU
Molecule: transfer RNA, 61 nt
Filed under: Asphaera sp. REN-2018
Lineage: Eukaryota; Metazoa; Arthropoda; Insecta; Coleoptera; Chrysomelidae
Description: tRNA-Cys
Source: RNAcentral